GGAAGAGUCAGUGCUCGGAGGAGCUGCCUAUGAGAAACAUCAAGGAGCUCAACCACCUGCAGGUUCUCCACCUGGGCCCAGCUCUACAAGCAGGUUUGCUGCCUGUCCCUGCCCCAGGAAAAGGGUCUCAGUGAAGUCUGCUCUGCAUUGACCACAGGAAAGGAGAUGUACAGAAGAGAGCCAGUGAUGAUAUGUUGUCAAGAAAUGUGUUUUUCUAACACCUGCUGAGCAAAACAGGAUCUCUAGUGUGCUGCAAUAGUGGCUAUACUGCUCUGAAGGUUGUUCUGACUUCAAGUCCUAAGUAAAAGAACUUCUUACAGAGGAGGCUCCCCAGCUUCCCAGAAGAGAAAUCCUGGCAAAGGGAAUUUCCCAGGAAGUGUGACGGUGAUAAAAGAGGUGUUCAGGAUAGAAUUUGGGCUCUGAUGCUACACACUCUGUUCCCUUGAGAUCUUCCAAGAGAAUCUGUCAAUGACCUGAAAGGAGGAUAAUCUUGUCUGUCGUCUUCUCUCAAAAGUCCAAGAAAAAUGAAUGCAUCAGAUAAAGCUCAUGUCUUACAUGAUUGUUUUUAUGUCAAGUUUUGGAUACACCCAUGCCAUUUUUUGGAUAUUUUCAGCUGAGGAUUCAUUGUGGAUUUAUGAGGUCUCUCUUGCUACAUCAUCCUCCUGACUCAGCAGAAUCUGCUGUGAAAAUGAAUGAUGUUGCACCAGAAUAGACUCUGACCCGAGAACAGCCUUGCAUUGUGUGCCACCAAAAGAGCAAGUGUAGUCUCUGAAUGCUUUGAGCUAUGCAAUUUCUUCAGCAGUACUCCUGUUACUCUGUGCCCCUGGAAAGGACUGGAAGAAGAUUAUCUGCCUUUCACAGAAGAAAGCAUUACAAGUAUCAAAUGUGUGCUGUUCUCUUGGUGACGUGAUUUGGCUGUUCAACCCUGACUGCGAGAUGCCUGCCCCUGCGGAUGUAAGUAAUCUUUUUCAAACAGUCAAAGUUAGAUCACCAAUUUCCCUGCACUAAGUGGUUUAUCACCAAUUAAAAUUUUCUGGAGUGUUAGCAGCAUCUUAUAAAAAGUAACUUGUUCUGGUAUGUGUGCUGCUACUCUCAUGCUAGACAGUUCUUUGGUAGCUAAGCCACCACUGAAGGAGAGGAGACAAGUCACUCUUUAUCUCAUCCCUGAGUUUAUAGUUACUUUAAUCCUGGAAAGAUGCUUGCUUAUUUGCCCAAAGGCAAAAGGCAAGCAGGGACUAGCAUCUGGAUUUGCUCAGGCCACUAACAAGCAGUCCCCAUUUAAAAAAAGGUACACAUGUCCUCCUGGUCUGUCUUUGUUGUCCUCUCCUAACAGACUUCAGCACAUUUCCUGCCCUCUGGGGAACUGACUGGGCAGAUAUGUCAUUGCAUUUAGCAUGUGCUGUGCUGAGAUCAUAAAUCCUGCUGAGAGGAGCCUUCAAAGCUCAGGUGAAGCAACUCACUCAGUAUCACUACCCAGAAUUUGGGGAUCUUGCUGGCCUGCACUUCAGCCCAGUGCAUGGACAGAGGGAGUGUAUUAGAGGCAUGCUUUCAGCUUUUCUUGCAUAAGAGAGCUGUUUCAGGGGUUUUUUGGAAGUAGCUCUGGUUCAGCAGUAGCUCCUCAGGAUCAGGUGCCAUUUGCAGGGAAGGGGUGAGAAGCAAUACUUGCUUGGGAUGUGGGAAACACAGGAA
Zonotrichia leucophrys gambelii is the source of this 1689-nucleotide long non-coding RNA. RefSeq lists it as uncharacterized. The transcript is spliced from 8 exons. Lineage: Eukaryota; Metazoa; Chordata; Aves; Passeriformes; Passerellidae. The record is from RefSeq and is a predicted model, not a curated record.